Molecule: long non-coding RNA, 12601 nt
Filed under: Lathyrus oleraceus (garden pea)
Lineage: Eukaryota; Viridiplantae; Streptophyta; Magnoliopsida; Fabales; Fabaceae
Description: Pisum sativum (pea) long non-coding RNA (PSAT_LNC000370)
Source: RNAcentral
UUUGAUGGAGUAAUUUGCAGCAAAAGAUACAAGUAAGCGAAUAGAUUCUAACCUGGAGACUGGAGCAAAGGUUUCAUUGUAGUAAAUACCUUCUUGUUACCUGUAACCGUGUGCUACCAGUCGUGCUUUAUUUUUGACCACUUCACCUUUCUCAUUGAGUUUGUUUAUGUAUACCCAUUUGGUUCCAAUCACAUAAGUUCCCUUGGGUCUUGGUACAAGAUCCCAGACAUCAUUUUUUUGCAAAUUGAUCAAGUUCUUCCUUCAUUUCCAGAAUUCAUUCUUUGUCUUGAAGAGCCUUUUCACUGGAUGUUGGUUCUAUUAGAGAUACUAAACCCAGAGGUGUUUCCUCUAAGACCUUGAAUGUAGAUCUUAUUCUGAAAGGGUCAUCCUUGUUUCCCAUAAUCAACUCCUCAGAAACAUUUAGUCUAUUUCUUGAUCUUUUAUGUAUGAUUUAAGAUUCUAGGUGCUUCUGAUGUUUCCAUUUCUACUUCUUCAGAUUCUUUUGUCUUUUCGUCAGAACAUGCAAGUGUUAUCUCCAAAUCUGCAAAUUUCUCAACUAGCUUUGACUUUCCAGAGUCAAGCUUAUCAUCAAAUCUGACAUGUAUUGAUUCUUCCAUAAUUAAUGUUUUUGUAUUAUAUACUCUAUAGCCUUAAGAGCGUUAUGAGUAUCCUAACAUAAUACAUUUUUGUGCUUUAGAAUCAAACUUGUUCAGAUUAUCUUUAGUAUUUAGGAUAAAACAAGAACAUCCAAAAGGAUGAAAAUAGGAAAUGUAAGGUUUUCUUCCCUUACACAGUUCAUAAGGAGUCUUCUCCAAAAUACAUCUUAUAGAGAUUCUAUUCUGAAUAUAACAUGUUGUAUUCACUACUUCAACCCAGAAGUGCUUAGCCAUAUUUGUUUCAUUGAUCAUGGUUCUGGCCACUUCUUAGAGAGUCCCAUUCUUCCUUUCUACAACUCCAUUUUGUUGUGGAGUUCUAGGACAGGAUAAAUCAUGGGAUAUUCAAUUAGAACCAAAAAUUUCUUCAAAAAGUUUGUUUUCAAAUUCACCACCAUGAUCACUUCUGACUCUGAUGAUUUUAGAGUCAAAUUCAUUUUGCACUUUUGAGAAGAAACUAGUAAACACAAAGUAUUACUCAUUCUUGUGUCUUAGAAAUUUUACCCAUGUCCAGCGACUAUAAUCAUCAACAGUGACAAGUCCAUACUUCUUACCAUUGACUGAAGUUGUCUUAACAGGUCCAAACAAGUCAAUAUGAAGUAGUUCCAAAGGCUUAGAGGUAGAAACAACAUUUUUAUUUUUGAAAGUUGUUUUAGAAAACUUUCCUUUCUGACAUGUCACACAAAGAGCAUCUGAAGAAAACUUCAGCUUAGAUAGGCCUCUGACUAACUUAACUUUAUUUAGCUGAGAAAUCCUCCUCAUGCUAAUGUGACCCAAGCAUCUAUGCCACACCCAUUGCUCUUUAUUUACAAACAUUAAACAUUUUACAUUUUGAUCUUUUAGAUCUGAAAGAUUAAUUUUGUAAAUGUUGUUCUUCCUCUUACUAGUGAAAAGAACUAUCCCAUUGCUCUGAUUAAUGGCUUUGCACGUUUUUUGCUUGAAGAUUAUAUCAUAACCGUUGUCACUUGAUUGACUUAUGGAUAACAGGUUAUGCAUUAAUCCUUCUCCGUAAAGAACAUUAGAGAUAGAGGGAAGAGAUCCAUUACCAAUAUUUCCAGAUCCUCUGAUUCUUCCUUUUUGAUUUCCUCCAAAUCCUACGAAACCAACGUCUUUAAGUUCCAAGCUUUGGAACAUAUGCUUUCUUCCCAUCAUGUGUCGCAAGCCUCCAGAGUCCAGGUACCAUGAUUGGUGUCUUAACUCUACUGCAUAACAUAUAUACAACAUAUACUAUUUUAUCUUUUGGUACCCAGAAUCUUUUGGGUCCUUUAUGAUUAGUUCUCCCAGAGUUUCUAGAAACUUUGGGUUUUCUAGCAUUAUUAAAACUUUGUGUUUGUGCAUGUGUGUAAUGAUAAGAAAAAGGAGAUUUAGGUUUGUCAUCUGCAAAGGGUAUUUUCUCAUCUUCAUCAGAGUCAUAUCCAAUUCCUCUUUUCUUAUUGUGACUAACACCAUAAAUCAUAGAAGCCAUUUUACUUCUUUCAAGCCCACUUUCAGAAAUUUCUGAAAAGCUUUUUCAUAUUUAUAUAUGAUGGUAUCAGAAGUUUGUGGAGCUUUGGAAAGAGUUUCUUCAAGUUUUAAGCAUUUUUCGGUUGAAAAUUCAUUUUCCUUUUCUAAGACAAAAAUGUUUCCUUUAAGUUCAGAAACUUCUGUUUCAAGCUUAUCACAUUCUUCAACAGUUUCUUCAUGGACCCUUUUUAGGAUCUUAAAUUUCUGUCGAAGCUUUUGAUAGGAGCUUAGAGAUUCUGAUAAACAGGCUUCUAAAUUAUAGCGAGAGAGAUCAUAAAAUACCUCUUCAAAGUCAGUUUCCCUUUUGGAUGUACUUCCAAAUGUGGUAGCCAUGAAUGCAACAUUUGCCUGUUCCUUUCCAGAGUCUGAUUUUGAGGCGUCAGGUUCAGAGUCAUCCCAGGUAGCCAUGAUCCCCUUCUUGGUUUUGAAGGAGUUUUUCUUGAAUCUUUAUUUUCUGGAAGUAUCUUUCUUGAGCUUUGGACAUUCGUUUCUUUAAAGUCCUGGUUCUUUACAUUCAUAGCAGGUUACCUCUUUGUUCGGUUUGCUUCUGGAAGUUGAUUCGGAGCAAUCUCCCUUGUGUCUUGGUCUUCUGAAGUUGUUAUUCCUUUUUCUCCAGAGUUGUUUGACUCUUCUGGUUAAGAGGGAUAACUCUUCUUCAUCAUCAGAAUCAUCCUUUUCAGAGUCAUCAUUUUCUUCUUCUUCAACUUGGAGAGUUUUAUUCCUUUCUAGUUUGCGUCUCUCAGAUCUAGACUUCAGAGCCACAUAUUUGCUUUUCUUUUGGGGCUCAUCUUCCUCAAGUUCUAUCUCAUGACUCCUAGGGGAGCUGAAGAGUUCUUCCAGGCUUAUGUUGUUCAGAUCUUUUGAUAGUUUUAAGGCAGUGACCAUAAGUCUCCAUUUCUUUGACAAGCUUCUGACAAUCUAUUUGACAUGAUAUGCAACUAUGUAGCCCUUGUCCAGAACCUUGAGUCCUGCAAUUAAAGUUUGAAAUCUAGAAAACAUUACCUCUAUAACUUCAUCAUCCUCCAUCUUGAAGGCUUCAUAUUUUUGAAUUAGAGCCAAAACAUUUGUCUCUUUGACUUGAGAGUUGCCUUCGUGGGUCACCUUUAGGGAGUCAAGUAUUUCUUUAGCAGUUUCCCUGUUGGUGAUCUUUUUAUAUUCAUUGUAGGAUAUGGCAUUCGGUAGUAUUGUUCUUGCUUUGUGGUGAUUUUUGAAAUCACGCUUCUGAUCAUCAGUCAUUUUAUUUCUGGCAAUAGCAAUACCAGCAUCAGAUACCAGUGGUACAUAUCCAAUUGUAACUAUGUCCCAUAUGUCAUCGUCAUAACCCAGACAGAAACUUUCAAUUCUAUCUUCCCAAUAAUCAAACUUUUCUCCAUCAAACACUGGAGGUUUGACAUUGUAGCUGUCUCUUUCAUUUGUGUUGGCUAUAUUGUUUUUCUCACGCUGGAUCUCUCUACACUGUUAGUGUUUGAUUAGAAAAUCAAUAACAGAGUCGAAGCUCUAAUACCAAUUGAAGGUAGAGAAAAACAAUAAAGGGGAGGGGGGGGUUGAAUUGUUUUCACAGAUAAUAAAAACUUUGCAAAUAAGACACACACGAAAGAUAAAGCUAUCAACAUAGAAGUUUAUCUUGGUUCGCUUGAAAUUCAAAGCUACUCCAGUCCACCCGACCAAGGUGAUUUCGCCUUCAACAAGGACUUAAUCUAAUAAUCUUGAAAUAUUACAACAAUAGCGUCUAAGAGGAUAAAGAUCUCUCAUCCCUCUUAAGUUUACAGACUUCACAAGUCACUUGAGAAAAUAUUCAACAACUAUUUGAAAAUACAAUUAAGUGUUUAGUGCUUCUAGGUAAGCAAUAGUAACACAAUGUAAGAACUGAAAUGUUUCACACUUAGAGCAAUAACUUGUGUGAAUAGAUGUGAACAAGAAUGAAAAAGAAUAUGGAAUUGUUUGCAGUAUUCUUGUGUGUAUGCUUCGUUGCCUUGUAUGAUGAUGAUCUUGCCUUUAUAUAGUGAUUUAAGCUAAAGACUGUUAGCUCAGGCAUUUAAUGAAUAUCUUGGAAAUGAUGGACUUUAAUGGUAUUAAGUUCGUUGUCCUUUCCAUAGCAAUUUUGGAGAGUGUUUAAUCUUUUCCAAAUAAAGAUUCAUACCAAAAGUAGAAAACUUCGUAGCUAAGUCUUUGUGAUUGACCUUGAGUCAGAGUACGCGGAGUUCAGAUUUUCUUGUUCAGCGUGUGUACUUCAGAUAGUUGCUGAGAGGUGAGAGUAAAUUUUCUUAAGAAUUUCUUGAUAUGUUUUUCUGUAGAGCCUUCUUCAGAGUACAAGUCAUCAGACUUGCUGUGUGGAACUCUUUAGAUACAGAGUGUCUGAGUCUUCUACCGUCAGACUCUGUGAGCUUCCUUUUCUUCAGAGUCAGAGCGUGAUUCAAUUUAUUCCAAGUUGUCUAUUCUUGACUUGCAUGAUGUCAGAUGUUUGUCUAUCUGAUCCUUUUUCUCUUAGAGUCAUGCACACUUAGAUAAAUUUGUUAGGGUACCAAUUUGUUUCAUCCUUUAUUAUCAUCAAAACCUUAUAGAUGAAUUGUAAACACAAAAUCUUGUUCUAACAGCAGAGGCAUCUACUUUACAUGCUCGCAUGUGUUAGACUUCACAAGGUCGCAUGUCUCAAACUUUGACUUCUCGAGGGCAUGUGUCUCCUGCUGAACCUCCAGCUUAUGAAGUCCAACAAGAGGAACCUAAUGUUGUUGUUGAUCCCAUUCCCGAUAGUUUUCCAAUAGGCUCAUUUGACAUAUCCUUACUUCCUCUCUAUGCCAAACAUGUUGUUAGGAAUGUGAGGGAAUGAGAGCUAUAUUUUUUUUUACUUUUACGUUACACGUGUUUCAUACUAAUUGAGUUAUGACUGAUGUUGGUAUAUUUAUUUUUACAUGAGUGUGAAAUAGUAAAAAAUUUAAGUCAUUCCCGGAAGAUUUUGAACUAGGAACAAAAUGCAUACACGUGGUUUAAAUAUUGUGUUCUUUAUUCUGGAAUUACAAGUGUAUGCUUCAUUAGACAUGACCAUUAACCAUGGCAUGUUGGCGGAUUUUGUGGAAAGAUGGCACAGGGAGACUUCAUCUUUCCACAUCCCUCACGGUGGGAGGUGUAUCACCCUUGAUGAUGUAUGAUGCCUUAUGCCUCUUCCGACUAGGGGAAGAAUACUAAAAGAUUCCCAUAAUGGCAAAUUCAAGGCAUUUGAAUUGAUGGUAAAUUAUUUGGGAGUUGGCCCAAGUGAAGCCCAAGAGGAGCUUGAUGCCAAGAGAGGCGCCCAUGCCCGAUUUUCAUACCUGGAUGACCUAUACAAAUACCACCUGGUUGCGAUAGUGGAGGACAAAGAUGAUGAAGGGUAAGGUUUGUUCUACAGACAAUGUGCAUUGAGGUUAUACUUCUUAUACUUGGUUGGCACGACAAUAUUUGUGGACAAAAGUGCAACCUAGGUUGAUGUAGUCUACAUGACAUACUUGACCAAUUUAGAGAGGAUCCACGAGUACAACUAGGGGACCACAUGUUUGAUUUAUCUGUACUCCAAACUAAGUGAAGUUUGUCUUUGGAUAACAAAAUAGAUGACUAGAAGAUGCACAUUGUUUACAAUAACUUAUUUGCAACCUUUAUUGUUACUAAUAUUCUCACAAUGACAUUGUUACACUUUUUACUAAUAUUUUAUCUGAACAAUUUUUAAGCAUGGAUCAUCUCUCAUUUUCCUCGCAUAUCCAGAUGGGAACUUGAAACGGACUACACUAGGAAUUUGCCACGUGCUUGCGCCUUUGGCUCGUAAAAGGGGAAUCAGGCGAUAGAGUCGUACAAGGUGUUUAUUAACCGUAUUGUAGCAGAUAACAUAUGCUUCUGUCCAUGCGAAGGCCACCGUUAGACGCUUCCCUUAGACGACAUAUCUUACUACUCUUGAUGGUUGACUUAUGGGUCGCGUCUGAUGUAUCCACAUCUUCCUGAGCGGGUCAUGCAACGGUUUGGGUAUCUUCAGAUGGUUCCAAUACAUCUCAUUGUGUCUGCUCUUCCGACAUUCUGUCGCAGAGAUCUUGAUGUCACACUCGAUGAUUUAUAUAGUCAUCUGAUACCAGAUAAAGCACGCAAUGUGCCAGCGGGUGAACCAUGGGCUUAUGAAUAGGGUUACAUCUAAUUGUUCUAUCGAGUGUCACAUCCUCACAUGACAUCAGAUAUCGCAGGAGCACCACCUAGACCCGCUCAUUAGGAGAUAUUAGAAAAGUGUUGGGUUAUGGAUGACCAUACAUCGGUCUUAUUUCCAAUAUGUCAGCGUAAUGUGCAGGUUGCGAGAGAUGCCAUUGAGAGAGGAUACAUUAGAGGAGGAGAUCAUGGUAUGACCUCCUUAUAGAUCAUCUUACUCGAGGCACAAAAUGCCUUGGGGUACAGGCGACGACAGAGGAGAAGCAGGAGGGUUAGAAAUACGCAAUAGUUUAUUUUUAUUUGUAUUUUGAUAACAAUUGUAUUUUAUGAACAAAUUAUGUAUCGUGGUAACGUUUUCGACUACUUGAUUAAUAUUUGGAUUUGAAUUUAUAUAUGAUAUGUUUGAAUUACAUUAGUAUUCUUAGCAUGAUGUUAAUAUAUCCUUAUGUAAAUGGCCUAAAAAAUAUCAAUUUAGAACAGUUGCUACUAAGGAAAAAUCUUUCAAAUGCUUUCAAGGGUUAUUCCGGAGAUACAUCUACGUAAUCAUUCCUAAAAAUUUACGGAGAUGCAUCUCCGAUCCAUAUUUUUAACGAAUUUGGGGUUGAUGUCUCACUUACAGAGCAUUGUGUGCAUUUUAGAUUCAUCCGGAGAUGUAUCUCCAAAAUAUAACAAUUUUCAAUUUUCAAUUUAUUUACCCUCAUCCCAUAGGAUGGAUAAAGUAAUACAUUAUAUUAUUGGUACGUCUCAAACUAAAUUGGUAUAACGGUUUGGAUAACGGUUUGGUUCACCUGUUUAUGUUUCAAAUCGAACCAAAAACUUAUUAAGAACUCAAUUGUAACAAAUCGUUCAUGAUUUAAACCGAGCUGGUUAAGUUCUUUUAGUAAAUUGUGUUAAAGUCUAGAUUUUUAAUAUCCAAGAUCGAGAUCCAUAUAUAAGGAUAAGAAGGAAAAAAAAGAUUAUUAUGUACUCCUUAUAUUCCAAAAUAAGUGUUAUAUUUGACAUUUUCACAUAUUUUAAAAAAAGUGACAAAUAAAAGAAAGAGAAUAAUUUUUUUACCAAAUUAUCCUCGUUGGUUAUUGAUGUAUUCAAAAUUAUCAUUAAUAUAAGAUGAGAAAAAUAAUAAAUUAGAAGUAUUAAUUAGAGGAUACAAUUGAUAUAUCUAGAUAAAAUUGCAUUGAAAACUAAAAACAGACACUUAUUUUGAGAUAAUGUCUUUUUUACACAUGUAACAUUUAUUUUGGGAUGGAGGGAAAAAUAAAAUAUACCAGAUAUUUGGUAAAUUGAUAGUAGAUUAGGAUGCUUAACAGAUAGUUGGUUAUGCCUUAGAAAUAUAAAUUGAGAGGUGAGUGAAUUGUAGCUAGUGGGUAUGCAAGAAUAUUGAGAGAUCUAUUAUGGUUAGACAGAGUUUUCUCCACCCCAGAAGCUUGGCUCUGGAGUAGUUUGGAAUUCAUUCCCAUCUACAAUUUUAUUUUCUUCAUCAAUCAAAUACAUAUAUUUUCCAUUGUUUUUCCUCUUGCUUACUUAACUUCAGAUUUUGAAUUCCAGAUUCCCAUCAAAUAAUGUAUAAGCUUAUGUACUGCUGGUAAUGUAGCAUUUCCCUUCUCAUUCUUUUCUCAAGGACAUUAGUUGUAGCCAAUAACAGAAACUGCGGUGCAACUUUGUCCCGGCACAGAAGAGCUAUAGAAAUGUCCAAAGAUCAUAUGCCAAACUGCAUCAAAGAACCCUUGUCCCGUCACAGAAGAGCUUUUGAAAUGCUCGAAGGUCAUGGCCAAACUGCAUCAAAGAAAGGGCGUAGAUCGAGUCCUUAAGCAGAUAUGUCGAUGAUGGCUACUUGAAUGGGCAGUUAUAAAUGUCACUCGUGCUCUAGGUGUCAGGCACCUUAAGGAAUGAAAUAAAUAAGUGAAUGAGGGGACGUGAUGAAAUAUAGAAUGUUAUUUUGCACAAAGACGACUUCAAGAACAUAUGAGGAGCAACUAUGCAGCAAGGAAUUUGUUCAUGAAACAAUCAAGAUCAACAGACAACUUGACAGUUGUGAUACUGUGUUUUAACUCUGGCUGUCGAAAGAAUGCGAGUAAAUACAAGCAAGGACUUCAGAAUCUCAAAUGCCUGCUAAAGGGAUAUAAAACAUUUGCAUGCAAAACAAACAAUAUAACUUAUAUUUUGGACUGCAAAUGCAAUUAGUGCAGGAUAUAUUUCAUGCCCAUAGAGGAGAAAAAGAACUCAUGUGCCAAAAGUCUAUUGAAAUUUAUAUCAAAACAAAAUUAUUUUCCCCCAUUGUAAUUGGGAAAGUGGGAGUGUAACAGAUUGGAGCGUUGAGUGAAGAGCAUAAUCAUCAAAUAUGCAACCUUUUUCAAUCUUCUACUCGUGCAAAUUUUCUAACAUAUUCUUACUUGUUCUGGCUGAAGACUACAUCCAGAAACCAAUUAUCAAGUUCUCCAUUGUGAUAAAACUCUAUAUGGACUAGAGAAGGCAUAAGAAACAACUUGUCAUUACACAAACCAGCUCGGUUUGACAAAAACAGGUGGUGUGGUUCCAUAAAUGUCACCAACCCAUGAAUCAUCUAAUGUGAAAAUCAUAGAAACAAUUGUGAAUUAUCAAUAAAAAAGAAAGCAACAAGACGACUGCAUGAACAGUAAGUGUUGAAUUGUCUCACCUAGACAUUCUUCUACUUCUGAGUUUACCAUCAGCGAAUAAAGAUUGAAAAAAUUAUACAAAGUUACAAACAUUAAUGAAGCAUUCCAAAAAUAUUAUUUUUCUUUAAUAGCUAAUAGUUAUAUACUGUGAAAAAUGUGUGUAAUGUAUUAUCAAUAAAGGACCUAUACUAAAAUAGAAUCCGUAUUUCUGAAAUAUUUAAAAUCACUUUCCUGAAAGUUUCUCUUGUAUCUCAGUUCUUGCAACUCGAAUCAAGAAUAAACCAGCAAAGAAAAUAGAUAAAACGAGCAUAAAAAAUACACUGUUCCAUCCCCUAGUUGAAACAUAACCUGCUAGAAGUGGUCCAAGAGCAGCUCCAACAGAACCAGUACCAUCAAUGAUUGCAGUAACAGUAGCCAGUGCCCGAGAACUCCCACCACUAAAGCCCUGAGUACCGAGAUCGGCAGCCACAGCAGUUGUGAUUAGCGAGUAUGGACCAUUCACCAAAAAUCCAGAAAGAAACAUCAAAGCAAUGUUCGUAAACAUAGAGAUGCUCCCAAAAAAACGAUACAAAAGAAGGGCUGGAAUUGAUAGAAACAAGAACAUAAUUGAAGUAACAGCACGCGCUUCAAUCAUAUCAGAAAUGAAACCGGCUGUUAUUCCUCCUAGGACUCCUCCAAUGUCAAAUACUGUUGAAAGUAACCCAGCAGUUUUGUGAGAUAGAUUAACACCAGCAACCGCUGCAACGAAUACCAAAUAACGAAGUCAUGAAAGAACAUUAUGAUUCAUGAACAAAAAUAAUGUACUAGUACAUGAAUUAACAUAAAUUGUAAUUAAUUUACUCAAAAUUGCAAAAUUAUUUUCCUGGAUAUUAUUAAAACAAAUUAAUAACUCUAUCCCAUAUCAUAUAUUUUUACAUCAAAGAACAAUUACCUGUGUGCCUGAUGUAGAAGGGUAACCAAUACAAGAAAGUGUAAGCAACAAAUUUUGAGAAAAAGAGACAAAAUGCAAACGGAGCGACUCCAGGUAUCUUCCACGCCUCUAAAAAUCCAAUAGCAGACGAAGAAUCUGUAACUAAAUUAUCCGGAUCAAUAAGCUUCGCUUCCUCUGAAUCAACUUUUGGCGGAUCCUCCGCACCGUCUAUCUCAACAGUCAUUUCAACGUCCAUACCAGGAUGCGCGAACCCUAUAUCCUUUGGAUUCACAACAAGAAACAAAAACACCAAAACCCCAACCAAAAUGAUAACAAAUCCAGGCACCACAAAUGACCAACCCCAUCCGAAUUCCAAGACUCCCGAAGCAAUAACCGAACCAAUUAUAUUCCCCACCGAGGUAUGCGAAUUCCAUACCCCCAUUAUCAAUCCCCUCUUUGAUUCCCCAACCCAAUUCCCCACAACUGCAACAACACAAGGCCACCCAAUCGACUGAAACACUCCACAAAAAAUCUGAACACCGACGAAAAAUCCCAACACAUGAACAUCUAACCAGUAUCCUAACCCAAAAAGUAUAGUAAAAACCCCACUACCCAUCAUCCCAAACACAAGAAACAACCUCAAAUCAAUCCUAUCUCCAACAUGCCCUGCCAAAUACAUGCCAAUAGAGUAAGCGGUGAGGAAGGCGAGAUCAACCUCGCCGAGCCGGUGAGUUCCCUGAGUUCCAUUAAAAGGAGGCCAACCUAAAUCAACCGUGGAAUUCAAAACUUGAAGUUGAGUUAAAUUGGUUGGAGCUGUGGGUCCCAAAACACUCUUAACAAUACUGGGAGGCUUCCUAGAUGCAUGAAAUGAAGCAUAUGCAAGAAAUGUGAUAAGAAGAACACAUAUUUGGUGGAAUAGUAGGGUUUUAUGAGGGGGUUUCAGAUUUGGAAAGAGAUUCAAAGCUGGAGCUAGGCUCAAACUCUUGGAAUUUGAUUGCAUGAUUACUCAUCAGGAUUCAAGUAUGCGCAUUGAAUCGUAUAAUCUAACCUAAUCUAGCACAGUGGACAAAUAUCAAUUUUUUCUGUACCUUCAGAAAUUCUUAUUAUAUCAAAAACUAUGAUCUGAAGAAUGUCAAAGAUGGAUACAAAAUUGAAAUUAAACUGACUUACAAGAUUAUAAGUAAUAAAGAAGAAGCUUCUGUUCUGCAUAUGAAAAACAAAAAGGGGUUUUGGUUUGCAGUGGCAGAAUGGUGAGAGAAACCGGUGAGAGAAAGAGAGGAUUGAGAGUAAAAAUUAAAACGGGUUUGCCUCAGAAACCGGUUUGUGUCCGGAUCGGGCUCGGCGAUUUCUAGAAAACGCAAAUUAAUUCCAAUUUUAUCAUCCAAGUAUGGUCAGCGCGUGAGAUUUUGGACUCUACUUUUUCUUUGAAUAAUUUUCAUUUCUAGCUGGCUACUGUGGCAGUGAGUUUAUGAUUUUAAAGGUCAUUUUUAAAUUAGAACAUAUUUAACCUCAGAAAUUGACAUGAUUAAGAUAUGACAUUUAAGAAUGUGCUAUUUUAAAAUUUUAAAUUCGACCCAUAUCAGGUUUUCAAAACAAAAAAUUGAAACAUUUGAUUUUAUUUAGAUUUCGUAAAAUAAAUUUGAUUUCUUGUUAUUUAAGGGUCAUUUUAAAAUUAAAACAUAUUUAAUUUUGUUAAGUCAGUUGAAUGUGUACAUAUGCAAGUAUUGAUUUCUUGUUAUUUAAAUUAUUUGAAUUGUCAACACAUAUGUGUUGAAUUGUCAAAAUAUUUGAUUUCUUGAAGGACCCUUGAAUUGUCAAAAUUAUUUUAAAAUUAAAACAUAUUCUUUGAAGGAUCACUUUAGUUUACCAUAUUUUGACAAUUCAAAUAAUUUUGUCAAAGGCGGCUAUUUUAACACUACAAUUCUAACACAGUAGCCUUACACCCUUUAAAAUACAAUUUAAGUCUAAAAUUUUUUUAUUAAACAUGAUAGAAAAACAAAAAUCGUAUACGGUGUAGAUGUAAAAAUUAAUUUAUCAAUAUAAUUUCUCAAAUAAUAAAUAUUGUAGUAAUAUUUUAAUUGAUUAUAUAUAUAUAUAUAUAUAUAUAUAUAUAAAAAUAUCAUAUUUAAAUAAUUAUAUUAGUGUUAUUGAUUUAAAACUUAUAUUAUAUGUUAUAGGAAAUUUUAUUCUAAUUUGUUUGUGUUGUCUAUUAUUUAUCAAACAAUGUAAAAAAAAGAGUUUUUCUGUUUAUCAAGAAUUUGUGCCGUGCAGUUUCUCUUUGUCCUAUACUCCAAUGCGAAUCAAACUACAACCUAAAUGAGAACUUUUCAGAUAAUCCUGUCAAAAAUUGAAAAUUAAUUUUAUCAUCAAAUUUAACACUUUUAGCUCCUCAUAAAUCAUUAUCUCAGUUGUAAUCCAUCCAUUAAGAAAACUUUAGUCAAGGUAAAAAAAAUGAUUCCAAUCCAUCAAACCAAGUCUCCUAGUACAAAUUUAGACAAGUAAGGAAAAGUAAAAAUCUAGAGUGAAAGAAUGGUAGUUCUACAACAUGGACAGUGUGAAUUAUUUUCCAACCAAGGUUUCAAGCAUGUAGAAUGAAACUUGUGAGCACAAGGUAGAGGAAUCAAUUUCUCUCCAAUCUUAAAUGAUUCCAAACACACAGCACAAUCUUCUUGUUCUGAUGCUUUCCAGCUCAAUUUGCUCCAACUGAACUUCCUUGGACCACUUUUCUUUGAACCAUACACCUC